CAGCCGUAAACAAUGUGCGUUAGGUGUGUCGGUAACCACGUGUUACUGAUGCGCCGAAGAGAAAUCGUGAAACGCACCACCUGGGAAGUACGGUCGCAAGGCUGAAACUUAAAGGAAUUGGCGGGGGAGCACCACAACAGGUGGAGCCUGCGGUUUAAUUGGAUUCAACGCCGGACAUCUCACCGGAUAAGACAGCAAUAUGUAGGCCAGGCUGAAGACCUUGCCUGAAUCGCUGAGAGGAGGUGCAUGGCGUAGACGUCU
RNAcentral lists this ribosomal RNA (261 nucleotides) under uncultured archaeon. RNAcentral describes it as "partial 16S ribosomal RNA". It matches the Rfam family "Archaeal small subunit ribosomal RNA", at positions 748 to 1009 of the family's 1478-position model. The record is from RNAcentral.